Molecule: ribosomal RNA, 1058 nt
Filed under: Geomydoecus aurei
Lineage: Eukaryota; Metazoa; Arthropoda; Insecta; Psocodea; Trichodectidae
Description: 16S ribosomal RNA
Rfam family: Bacterial large subunit ribosomal RNA
Source: RNAcentral
UAAUAGAAUGAAUUUGUGUGGAUGCAAGUAACUGAUAACGGAUACGGCUUUUCAAAAAACAGCGUAGCAAAGAUUAUUAAUUGUACCUUUUGUAUCAGGGUUUUAGGAAUAAUUUGAGGUAUAGAGAGUCCCAAAGAGAAGUGAUAUUUUUUUUACUAGUCCUUUAUUGCACUAAAGUGGGGAAUGGAAAGAAUGAGGGUAUAUCUUACUCAAACUUCUUUAUAAUUGGUUUUGGGAUAAUUUGAUACACAGUAUCGUAAAAAUUUGGGGAUAAGCUAAGAAAAGUAAAGCAACUAAAAGAAAUCUCUGUUAAAUGAGUUAUUGAAAGGAUUUUGUUUAGCUUCUUUGAAAUUGUUCUAAUAAGGUUUUGAACUCCAAAUAAUUUAAAAAAAUCUAGAAAUUAGUAUUUCCGGAUAUUUAACUUUAAGAACUCGGCAAAUCUGGGGUUGGCCUGUUUGUUAAAAACAUCUCUUAAAGAUAACAAUUUUAAGUAUUACCUGCCCGGUGCAUAAGAGUUUACGGCUGCAGGACUGUUUACUGCACGAAGGUAGCAUAAUAACUUGCCCUUUAAUUUUGGGAUGGAAUGAAAGGUAGGACUAAAUUCCCUCUUUUUUAAGUUUAUUCGUGGGAAAUUGAAUUUUGAGUUAAAAUGCUCAAAUAUUUCGACGGGACGAGAAGACCCUGUAGAUUUUUAAUCUCCUAUAUACCCUAAUUAAUUAUGUAGUAGAUUUUACCUGGGAAGGGGGAGCCAAACAGCUUUAUAUAUGUGACGGUUUACCUUCCAAUAUCCGAUCCACUUAAUAAGUGAUAAGAGGAAAUAAAUACCUCAGGGGUAACAGCGUGAUUCUUCCCCUUAGCACAAACAAGGUGGAGGAGUUUACGACCUCGAUGUUGAAUUGGGAAGAAAUAACCGAUGGAAAAGGCGUUAGAAUCAGUCUGUUCGACUGUUAAAAUCCCACAUGAUUUGAGUUUAGACCGACGUGAGUCAGGUCAGAUCCUAUCCGUCGGUAGCGUUUCUUACGUAGUACGAAAGGACCUGUAAGCAGCUUGAAAAGCUU